This 200-nucleotide ribosomal RNA is filed under the name uncultured bacterium. Its description in RNAcentral is "partial 16S ribosomal RNA". It matches the Rfam family "Bacterial small subunit ribosomal RNA", at positions 30 to 232 of the family's 1533-position model. The record is from RNAcentral.
AUUGAACGCUGGCGGCAUGCCUUACACAUGCAAGUCGAAUGGUAACAGGUCUUCGGAUGCUGACGAGUGGCGAACGGGUGAGUAAUACAUCGGAACGUGCCCAAUCGUGGGGGAUAACGCAGCGAAAGCUGUGCUAAUACCGCAUACGAUCUACGGAUGAAAGCAGGGGAUCGCAAGACCUUGCGCGAAUGGAGCGGCCG